RNAcentral lists this ribosomal RNA (278 nucleotides) under uncultured bacterium. RNAcentral describes it as "partial 16S ribosomal RNA". It matches the Rfam family "Bacterial small subunit ribosomal RNA", at positions 506 to 784 of the family's 1533-position model. The record is from RNAcentral.
UGCCAGCCGCCGCGGUAAUACGAAGGUCCCAAGCGUUGUUCGGAAUCACUGGGCGUAAAGCGUGUGUAGGCUGCGCGGAAAGUCAAAUGUGAAAGCCCGGGGCUCAACCUCGGAACUGCAUUCGAUACUCCCGUGCUAGAGUAAUGGAGAGGUGGUGGAAUUUCCAGUGUAGCGGUGAAAUGCGUAGAGAUUGGAAGGAACAUCAGUGGCGAAGGCGGCCACCUGGACACAUACUGACGCUGAGGCACGAAAGCGUGGGGAGCGAACAGGAUUAGAUA